RNAcentral lists this long non-coding RNA (3486 nucleotides) under Canis lupus familiaris (dog). Its description in RNAcentral is "lncRNA (ENSCAFG00040002103.1)". The record is from RNAcentral. Lineage: Eukaryota; Metazoa; Chordata; Mammalia; Carnivora; Canidae.
AAUAAAAUCUUACCCACAGUCCCAACCCAUCUUAUCCAUCUGUUCUCGGUCUGUUCUAACCACCAUUAUCUAAUCCCUCUGAGAACCACAGAGCUUCCUGUCUGUGACAUCCACUUGAAAUUACUGGGUGUUGUCACUUCCUCCGUGUGUGACCUUGGACAAGUUACUUCACUUCACUUAGCUUCCGUUUUUCUUCUGUUUUUCCACAAAACAGGACUAAAGGUGGUGUGGCUCUGGUGGGGCAGUUCUGAGGAUUCCAGUGGAGCAGCACAGAUAAGCCUCCACACCAGGGAAUCGACACUGAUGCAACGCUUCACACCGAUGCACACUGCCACCAGAGUCCCCACAACGUCCCGUCGCUCUUCCCGGGCUCAGGAUCCAGAAUCCGUCCCUGGAGCCAGUUGUCCUGUGGUUCAAUCUCCUUCGACCUCAAAGAGCGUUUUGUAUUUUUCCUGUUGUGACCUUGAUCAGUUUAAGGGGACCCUGGUCAGGGUCCAUCUGGAGUUUUUCCACGUCCGCUCGGGGUGCACGGGACAGUAGGGGCUGAACGCCCUUCCCAGCGAGCCACACAAAGAGGCACAGUCUGUCACCUCCUUCCGCAGUGGCCAUGUUAGCCUGGGUCACCUUCUCUACUACGCGUCUUAAGCAUAAAGUCACCACUUUCCCCUUUUGAAAUUAAUAUAUAUUUUCUGAGGAGACUUUUGAGCUAAUAUCCUGUUUCUUUUUAAAAAGAUUGUAUUUAUUUAUUAGAGAGAGCGAGAGUGAGAGAGAGAGCACAAACAUGGAGAACAGCAGGCAGAGGGAGAAGCAGACCCCCCGCUGAGCAGGGACCCGACACGGGGCUGGAUCCCAGGACCCUGGGAUCAAAACCUGAGCCGAAGGCAGACACUUAACCUGCUGAGCCACCCGGGGACCCCUAAUAUCCUGUUUCUAACAGACACUCCACUCCGUGGCUUUAGCGCCCAUUGUCAUCUCCUGCGGGCAUCAACGACCGGCUGCUGGUCGCCAAAUGGUCAUUUCCUAUUUCCAUCAUUCCUUCUGCAUUUAUUGGUUGGCAUUUUAACUAAAGGAAAAGCUUCCUUCCUCAUGUAUUAUUUAUUUACCUUAUGUAGUCAUUUGUUUGUUUACUCAUGUAUUUCUGUUUUAUUCAGCAAAUGGUAAUGCAUUAUCAUAUAUAAUUAUUUUCAUGCCUAAAUUGUCCUGAAUUUGACCAUGCUAAGCCCCUUCAAGUUGGCUCCUGUGUCCUUUCCAUCCUUUGAAGCCUUUCUUCCUGGCAUAUGUUAUCUUAUCUUGCACUUUCCCUCCCUCAGUCCUGGAAUUUGCCUCUUAUCCAAGGAGUCCUGGUUCCCCUGCUUGGAAGACAGCGAGGAGAAGCCAACCUCUAGAUAGCAGGUGUGCCUAUUGAUUAUGACAGCGGAGCUAGGGAAUAUGUAGCUGUGCAUGCACACAGAUAUGUACACACCAAUACAUCUGUAUCUGUGCUUUCUCUCUUUGUGUUAUGCAACUUUAAAAAAUGAAUUCAGGGGUGCCUGGGUGGCUGAGUCUGUUGAGCAUCGACUUUUGAUUUCAGCGUAGCACUCAGUGUGGAAUCUGAGACUCUCUUCUUCUCCCUUCUCUCUAUUCCCCCCCCCAAAAAAAAUAAAUAAAUAAAUCUUUUUAAAAUGAAUUCAAAUCUAUAUCUGCAAUUGCAGCCCAAUACUUCAGGACUUUUUUUAGCCUUUCCUCUUUUCCUGGUUGAAAUUCCCUCCUCUGACCUUGAGAAAAAUAAUACCUAUUAUCCUUAAUACAUUUCCUCAUUAGUUCAAUCUAUUUAUUAUUUGCUCAAUGUCCUACAUCCCACUUGCAUGAGUGACCUCUUUUUCCUUCAAUCUCUAUGACCCCCUUCCCCGGCCUCCAUACACCCCACUUCCUCAUUCCUGGCAUGCAAGCAAUACACAGGUACCUCUCUUUCCAACACCUUGGUGUUGCGACAGCCAAGGAAAGUGUGGGAGAAAGGGAUGAGGAGAGUGGAAGAGAAGUUUAUUUUUUGUAAUAUUGGGAAAAAUGGGACCCCCUCUCAAAAAAAUUAGUUCCCGUAUAGCAAAUGAUUCUGUUUCAGCUUACCAACAAGAAUUUUAUUAGGAAUAUAGGAAGUAAUGUACUGGACUAGGAACAGCAGAUAUACAAUAUUCAGUGAUAUUUAGAUUCCUCAUGGUUUACUGUGGGAGCACAGUAUGUAACUUAUAGUAAGAGUCUGGAGCUGUCAGCAGAGUUUGAUUUAUAAAAUGGCUUUAAGAUCAUUAAAUUUAAUAGUGUAAAAUACCUGCAUAUUUUAUUUCCAUUUUGUGUGGAGAGAUGUCUGGCCUUGCACAGAAUUCUGACUUGGGUAUGAUGUGAUUGCAACCAAAGAACAUCUGGACCCUGAGCGCUAAUGGGAAGACCCAGGUCUUCAUUCCAGUAGUUCAAAGUCUGCCAUGUGAUUAGUUUCCUUCCAUAACGAAGUAUCACAGACAGGGUGGCCUAAGGCAACAGGAAAGUGUUCUCUCUCAGUUCUGGAGGCUAGAAAUCUGAGCUCAAGGUAUCAUUGGCAGGGCUGGUUCCUUGUAAAGGCUCUGAGAGGGGAACCAUCCCAGGCCCUUCUCCUGUAACCAGUGGUACCAUUAGAACCCUUGCCAUCUCUCCAUUUGAAGCCACAUUACUACAGUAUCUGUUUCUCUUGUCACCUGGUCUGCCUCUGCCUGUGCCAGCCUCCAAAGCCCACCUUUAUUUACCAGUUAUAUUAGAUUAGGACCCACCUUAUACCAGUACAACCUUGUGUUCACUUGGUUACAUCUACGAAGACCACAUUUCCAAACAAGGCCACAUUCCCAGCUGCUGUGGGUCAGGACUUGAGCACCUCUUUUGGAGGAAGACUUUUCAGUGCACUUUGAUGGUGAGGUAACAAUUACCAUGGAUCUAUUCGGAGCUACAUGCUUAUAUUAAUAUCAUCUCUUAAAGGCAUGAGUUAUUCAAUAUUGCUUUCUCCACAGUUUCCCUAAGUCAGUGUUUGUUUCUUGUGAAGUAUUGAUGGCAAAAUCAGUGUGUCCCAAGGAUCUAUUUUGUUUUCUUCUGGAACACAACACUUCAAGCUAAACAUGGAUACCCUACAGCCUGACCUCUUUCUCCCUGAGCCCUCUCAAUCCAGAGGUGCUAAGACGGUGAUAGUCUCCACUUAAGGCUUGUACAGUGGGUCUUAUCAAAUCCAAUGUUUUUAUUUUCCAUAUUCCUCCACCUUACUCUAAUUACCUGUUACUUGGAAGGCAACAAUGCACAAAAAGUUAGCAAUGGUCAAAAUAAUUUUAAAACAUGCUACUUACAAAGUGCUGCUGUCUAAAAUACUUUCCUCCUUACUCAGCUUCAAUGACUGAUACUAGGCUGUGUGCAGAAUGCAAUUGCUAAAUUGAAUGUGACGCCCACCAGAUUUUAUCAUCCUUUUUUCAGAGAAUGGGCUGCGAUGCAGUCGGUCAC